This 477-nucleotide ribosomal RNA is filed under the name uncultured bacterium. RNAcentral describes it as "partial 16S ribosomal RNA". It matches the Rfam family "Bacterial small subunit ribosomal RNA", at positions 28 to 523 of the family's 1533-position model. The record is from RNAcentral.
GAUGAACGCUGGCGGCGUGCUUAACACAUGCAAGUCGAGCGAGUGAGUUCUUCGGAACGAUCUAGCGGCGGACGGGUGAGUAACACGUGGGCAACCUGCCUCAUAGAGGGGAAUAGCCUCCCGAAAGGGAGAUUAAUACCGCAUAAAAUUAUCGAGUGGCAUCACAUGAUAAUCAAAGGAGUAAUCCGCUACUGAGAUGGGCCCGCGGCGCAUUAGCUAGUUGGUGAGGUAACGGCUCACCAAGGCGACGAUGCGUAGCCGACCUGAGAGGGUGAUCGGCCACAUUGGGACAGAGACACGCGCCAGACUCCUACGGGAGGCAGCAGUGGGGAAUAUUGCACAAUGGGGGAAACCCUGAUGCAGCAACGCCGCGUGAGUGAUGAAGGUCUUCGGAUUGUAAAGCUCUGUCUUUGGGGACGAUAAUGACGGUACCCAAGGAGGAAGCCACGGCUAACUACGUGCCAGCAGCCGCCGUAA